Molecule: long non-coding RNA, 5051 nt
Filed under: Sus scrofa (pig)
Lineage: Eukaryota; Metazoa; Chordata; Mammalia; Artiodactyla; Suidae
Description: lncRNA (ENSSSCG00050075077.1)
Source: RNAcentral
AACUCAUAUUAUGUCUAUGUGAAAAGCAUGAUGAUUUCCUAUCAGCAAAACAAAGGGAAGUUUAAACCUCAGGAAGUGGAAAAGCACAGGGAAAGUUAGUGAAGGGUUCGGAAAGUAUACUAGAAACAUCAAGGAUAGGAUGAUUUCAGGAAGUGCUUAGUGCUUGUUCUUAAUACUAAUGGUUGCAUUCUGAAAUUCAGAAAAGGAAGCUGAGAGGUGUUGAAAAUGUUUCACAUUGUGUUCUAGCAGAUGGUUAAGUAGCAUUAUUUUGUUAACUCAUUCAUCUAAAGCUUUUUUCAUCUGUAUUAAAAUUGUCCCAAAGGGAAAAAGUAGUUUCAGAAAUGUUUGUGAUCUUUUAUUUUAGGGGGAAAAAUCCAUUUUCUAUGAUUUCUGUCAAGUGCAAAAACCUAUUCAAGGGAAUUAGCUGUGAUAAUUCACUGCUUUGAAUUCAUUCCUUUUGCAGUAUUACUUCCCACACUUUCAUUUUAUCUCAUUCAGUCCAUGUGUCUUUAUCUUGAAGUUGCAUGAUCAAAAAUCCAGACAAAUUAUAUAUAUUCAAGGUGUAUAUAUAUAUGUAUAUAUAUAUAUGCACACACACACAUACACACACAUAUGUGUGUGUGUAUAUAUAUGUGUGCAUAUAUAUACACACACACACACACAUAUGUGUGUGUAUGUCUGUGUGUAUGUACAUGUAUGUAUGUAUGCAUGUAUAUUUAGAUUCUGUGUAUCACGAAUAACAAAAGUCUAUGUAAAAUGUAACAUCUGAAUACCUACUUAAAAAAUUAUUAUAGUUGACUUACAUUAUUGUCAGUUUCUGCUGUACAGCAAAGUGACCCAGUCAUAUAUAUAUACACACAUAUAUAUAUAUACUUUUUCUCAUAUUAUCUUUCAUCAUGUUCUCUCACCAGUGAUUAGAUAUAGUUCCCUGUGGUAUAGAGCAGGACUUCAUUGCUUAUCCAUUCUAAAUGCAAUAGUUCACAUCUAUUAACCCCAAACUCCAAGUCCAUCCCACUCCCGCCUCCUCCCCCUUGGCAACCACAAGUCUGUUCUUCAUGUCUGUAAGUCUGUUUCUGUUCUAUAGAUAGAUUCAUCUGUGCCCUGUUUUAUUUUUUUUUAAAUGAUUUUUAUUUUUUCCAUUAUAGUUGGUUUACAGUGGUCUGUCAGUUUUCUACUGUACAGCAAAGUGACACAGUCACACAUAUAUAUACAUUCUCUUUCUCACAUUAUCCUCCAUCAUGUUCCAUCACAAGGAACUAUGUCCAAACACCUCUGAUGGAACAUGAUGGAAGAUGAUAUGAGAAGGGGAAUGUAUAUGUAUGUAUGACUAGGUCUCUUUGCUGUACAAUAGAAAUUGACAAAACAUUGUAAAUCAACUAUAAUGAUUUUUUUAAAAAAAGCAAUACACAAUGAGAUCUUGCUGUGUAGCAUUGAGAAUUAUGUCUAGAUACUUACAUUGCAACACGACAAUGGGAGGAAAAAUUACCCAUACAUGUAUGUGUAACCUGGUACCCCUGCUGUACAGUGGAAAAAAAAUUUUAAAAAAAGCAGAACAACUUUGGCAAAAGUGUUUGCAUACACAUUCAAUCUCACCUUUUAAACAUCAUUAUUGUGUAGUUGGACCAUAGCCUGAGAGGUCAGAUGAGCAUUCCAUUACCAUUUCUUUUCUUUUUUUUUUUCUCUCUGUAAUAUGAUUGUUCUUGAGGUACUACUAAUAUUGAGAGAAAAUAAUUUUGACAGCCGUGUUCAUAACAAACAUUAAGUGGAUCAUUGAUUCUAAAAUAGAGUGCUUGUGAAACAUAGAGGGCAUACUUACUGAUGAGUGAUCAUUAUUGAUUAGGUGUAUGGAUCUAUAUUUUUUAAACAAUUUGAUACAAUUCCACACUUCCAUGGAAAAACCGUAUUUUUUUUCAAUUUGAAGUCAUAGUUGUUGUCAUCUUAACUACUCUGCAGAUGCCCUAUGCAACACAUGAAAAUUUUCUAAGACCAUUCCUAUUCAAAACAAAGGAAAGGACUCAGACUUAUUCAUACUCUUCACCUCAAUUAAGUGGUAAAAUCAGUGAGGAUAAUGGGCCAAUUAAAUACAGGUGUUAAUCAUUCAUUUGUUAUAUGACUUAAAUUUUUAUUACAAAAAAUAGUAUAAAAUAAAAACAUCCAAGUUAUCAUCCAAAAGAGUUAAUGUGCAUAUUUAAACAUUUAUGGCAAUGUGAAAGUUGUAUUUUUUGUAGUACUUCAGCUGACAGUCUUCACUAUGCUUUCCACAUAAUACAUAGAUUUAUGAUAGCAGAAAAGCAAUGUUCUUGAAAGAAGACAGUCAAAUAGCCAACAGGUACAUGAAAAACUGCUCAACAUCACUAAGCAUCACAAAUUAAAACCACGAUGAGAUAUCAUCUUACACCUGUUAGAAUGGCUAUUAUGAAAAUGGCAAAAGAGGAGUUCCCAUUGUGGCUCCGUGGGUUAAGGACUCAAAGUUGUCUCUGAGAGGAUGUGGGUUUGAUCCCUGGCCUCACUCAGUGGGUUAGGGAUCUGGCAUUGCUGCCAGCUCUGGCAUAGGUCACAGAUGUGGCUCAGAUCUAGUGUUGCCAUGGCUGUAGUGUAGGGCUGCAGCUGCAGCUCUCAUUUCAACCCCUAGCCCAAGAACUCCCAUAUGAUGCAGGUGCAGCCCUAAAAAGGGAAAAAAAAAUGACAAGAGAUAACAAGUACUGGUGAGGAUGUGAAAGAAAGAGGACCCUCAUGCACUUUUGGUGGAAAUGUAAAUUGGUGCAGCUUCCUUAGGAUAUAGUGUACAAAUGAUGGUGUAAUGCAUGAGUAAUGUGGAAGGGUGGUCACUGUGUGUCUAGGGAUCUAAAAACAGUCUCACACUCUCUCCUUUAACUCAGUGACCACAGGGGUAAGGAAAUGAUAUUCAGCCACAGUCAGCUUUCUAAGACAGAAACUGUUGGACAGUUCAGCCUUGUUAUAUAACUUAAAGUUCCAUUGGAUGGUGUAAUUAAGAUUACUUCUCUAUAAUCAAUCUCGGAAUUGAGAUUUCUCCCAUUCACAUAUGUAGCUCUUAAAUAUGUAGCAAGACUUUUACCCUUCAAAUCUAUAUACAUAUGUAAAUACAUAUAUACAUAUGUAUAAAUAAAUAAAUACAUCUAUAUCUAUAUCUACACACACACACACACACAAGUAAAAUCACCUUUAUGUACAAAAUAAGUUCUAUCUCCCUGACAUGCCACCAGUGGUCUUUAUUACUAAUGAUAUUUAAUUUCUCUGUUCCCUUGCCACUUCCUUUGAUUGGCCUUACAUUUCAGUCGAACUGCAUAAUUUACCAUUCUCAAACUCACCUAGUUACUAUUGUGGCCAUACUUUUCUCACACUCCUUGUUCUAUCUGGCAUGCUAUUCCCUAGGUGUCUAAUCCUACCAACCAUUCAAAGCAUAGCUAAAAUGCAGCCUCCACCUGGAACUCAUGUAUUCUUUUAUAAAAAAUUUUUUUGGAGUAUAGUCAACUUAAAACAUUUUUUGUGUACAGCAAAGUGAAUCAGAUAGAUGGAUGGAUAGAUAGAUAUAGAUAUAGAUAGAUAGAUAGAUAACAAUUGUUUCUUAGAUUAUUUUCCCAUAUGGCUUAUUAGAGAAUAUGGAGUAGAUUUCCCUGUGCUAUACAGCAAGUCCUUGUUGAUUGUCUAUUUUAUAUAUAAUAGUGUGUAUGUAUUAAUCCCAAACUCCUAAUUUAUCCCUCCCCACAAUGUUUCUCCUUUGGUAACCAUAAAUUUUAUUCCAAAAUCUGUAAGACUGUUUUUGUUUUGUAAGUAAUAUCUUUUGUGUCAUCUUUAUUGGAUUCCACAUAUAAAGGAUAUCAUGAUAUCUGUCUUUGUCUGACAUGUCACUCAGUAUAAUAACCUCUAGGUCCAUACAUGUUGUUAAAAUGGCAUUAUUUCAUUCUUUUUCAUGGCUGAGUAAUAUUGUAGAUACGUACCACAUCUUCUUUAGGCAUUCCUCUGUCAAUGGACAUUUAGGUAGCUUCCGUGUCUUGGCUGUUAUAAGUAGUGCUUCAUGGAACAUCAGGGUGCAUGUAUCUUUUUGAAAUCCAGAGAAAACUGUAAUUCAGAAAUCAUCUAUUCUUCAUGAUCAAAAGGAAAUACAUCUUCUUUUCAAUGUGAGCAUGUUUAGCUUUCUCUUUUGAUUCUGUUUUCUCUUUCUGUUAUUGCGUAUCUGCAUUUGAAUUCUCUCUUUUCUGAAACUGUGAAUUUCUUCGAAUCAAGAAUGAUGUUUUUUCCCUCUUGAAAUUCCUCUUAGCAUAAAGUUUAUAUGUAUGGUAAGUAUGCAAUACAUUUUUAAAUGUAUGUCCCUUCUCUUCUGCAUUCAUUUUAUCUUAUCAAAACGACUUUUAAAUGUGAGACUUCAAAUUGUGUAGGCAAAAUGCUUUCUGACUCUGUACAUUUUAUAUGUCUAUUAAUAAAACCUAAAAUUACAUUACGGUAGCUUUAAAAUGAUUUUUGGUGGCUGCUAUGGUUUACCUUUUACUACCAAUCACAUCAUUAACCCUUAAGAGCUGCUGUAGGUAGGUUUUUUUAACACCAGCUUCUCUUUACCCAGGCAAGACAUCACUAUUUUUUUAAAUUAUUUAUUUGUACAAUUUUCAAACCCAUGCAGCAUUUUAAUGCUGUUUUUAAUUGUUGUCCCCUAUUCCAUUCUUUCAAGUUACUUUGGGAUUGUGAUCAAUUCUGCCAGUAAAUUGACAUGUUACCUCCCUUCUUGCCCCUACUCUCUCAUCCUCAGCUCCAAAUAACAUCCUCACAGGAGGAGUUCCCGUCGUGGUGCAGUGGUUAACGAAUCCGACUAGGAACCAUGAGAUUGCAGGUUCGGUCCCUGCCCUUGCUCAGUGGGUUAGCAAUCUGGCAUUGCCUUGAACUGUGGUGUAGGUUGCAGACACGGCUCGGAUCCCGUGUUGCUGUGGCUCUGGCUUAGGCCGGCGGUUACAGCUCCAAUUCAACCCCUAGCCUGGGAACCUCCAUAUGCCACAAGAGCGGCCCAAAGAAAUAGCAAAAAGACAAAAAAAAAAAAAAAA